Molecule: long non-coding RNA, 369 nt
Filed under: Elaeis guineensis (African oil palm)
Lineage: Eukaryota; Viridiplantae; Streptophyta; Magnoliopsida; Arecales; Arecaceae
Description: long non-coding RNA (EGUI_LNC051795)
Source: RNAcentral
AGCAAUUUGAAUGCAUGGAGAUGGGCACAUGGGCUUCCAGUUCGAGUGUGCAUUGGCGCAAUCCUUAACAAGCAGGCACGCAAAUGGGUCUAUGUGGGUACAGCGAGGCGGAAACCAGUCUUCACACAAGAUUCAAAUGUGGGAUCAGGCAAAAGCAGGCAUUCAUCCGAGCAAGUCAUGUAGCGAGUGCAGUUUAAAUUUAUCCAUGGAAGUUGGCGAGCAGGGGUGAACGCAAAAAGUAUAACAGCUAAACAGAAGACAAAAUCUAUGGAACAAACACGGAAACUUGUGUGGAUGUAUGAUUUUAUGAAGAAACAUAGUAAAGAUGAUAAGAAGGGGUUAUUGGGAUGCAAAACAAACGCAAUCUGC